RNAcentral lists this transfer RNA (86 nucleotides) under Chloroflexota bacterium. RNAcentral describes it as "tRNA-Leu". It matches the Rfam family "tRNA". From Rfam's summary of the family: Transfer RNA (tRNA) molecules are approximately 80 nucleotides in length. The record is from RNAcentral. Lineage: Bacteria; Bacillati; Chloroflexota.
GCGGGAGUGGUGGAACGGUAGACACGCUGGCCUUAGGAGCCAGUCAGGGUGACCUGGUGGGGGUUCGAGUCCCCCUUCCCGCACCA